This 417-nucleotide ribosomal RNA is filed under the name Vibrio parahaemolyticus. Its description in RNAcentral is "bacterial SSU rRNA". It matches the Rfam family "Bacterial small subunit ribosomal RNA", at positions 1117 to 1533 of the family's 1533-position model. The record is from RNAcentral. Lineage: Bacteria; Pseudomonadati; Pseudomonadota; Gammaproteobacteria; Vibrionales; Vibrionaceae.
GCCAGCGAGUAAUGUCGGGAACUCCAGGGAGACUGCCGGUGAUAAACCGGAGGAAGGUGGGGACGACGUCAAGUCAUCAUGGCCCUUACGAGUAGGGCUACACACGUGCUACAAUGGCGCAUACAGAGGGCGGCCAACUUGCGAAAGUGAGCGAAUCCCAAAAAGUGCGUCGUAGUCCGGAUUGGAGUCUGCAACUCGACUCCAUGAAGUCGGAAUCGCUAGUAAUCGUGGAUCAGAAUGCCACGGUGAAUACGUUCCCGGGCCUUGUACACACCGCCCGUCACACCAUGGGAGUGGGCUGCAAAAGAAGUAGGUAGUUUAACCUUCGGGGGGACGCUUACCACUUUGUGGUUCAUGACUGGGGUGAAGUCGUAACAAGGUAGCGCUAGGGGAACCUGGCGCUGGAUCACCUCCUUA